Molecule: ribosomal RNA, 509 nt
Filed under: uncultured bacterium
Lineage: Bacteria
Description: partial 16S ribosomal RNA
Source: RNAcentral
GGAGUUAGCCGGUGCUUCUUCUGUGAGUGAUGUCCUUCCUGCCGGUUAUUGACCCGCAGGCCUUCUUCCUCACUGAAAGUGCUUUACAACCCGAAGGCCUUCUUCACACACGCGGCAUGGCUGGAUCAGGGUUGCCCCCAUUGUCCAAUAUUCCCCACUGCUGCCUCCCGUAGGAGUCUGGGCCGUGUCUCAGUCCCAGUGUGGCUGAUCAUCCUCUCAGACCAGCUACGGAUCGUCGCCUUGGUGAUCCGUUACCUCACCAACCAGCUAAUCCGACAUAGGCUCAUCCGAUAGCGCGAGGCCCGAAGGUCCCCCGCUUUCCCCCGUACGGGCGUAUGCGGUAUUAGCCUGGGUUUCCCCAGGUUAUCCCCCACUACCGGGCAGAUUCCUAUGCAUUACUCACCCGUCCGCCGCUCGCCACCAGGGAGCAAGCUCCCCGUGCUGCCGCUCGACUUGCAUGUGUUAGGCCUGCCGCCAGCGUUCAAUCUGAGCCAGGAUCAAACUACUGA